AGUCACUGACAUUAGAUACCCGCGUAGUCCAGGGUGUAAACGCUGCAGACUUGGUGUUGGAAGCCCUUUGGGGGCAUUCAGUGCCGGAGAGAAGUUGUUAAGUCUGCUACUUGGGAGUACGUCCGCAAGGAUGAAACUUAAAGGAAUUGGCGGGGAGCACCGCAACGGGAGGAGCGUGCGGUUUAAUUGGAUUCAACACCGUAAAACUCACCAGGGAAGACUGUUACAUGAAGGCCGAGAUGAAGACUCUGCUAGAUUUUCAG
This 263-nucleotide ribosomal RNA is filed under the name uncultured archaeon. RNAcentral describes it as "partial 16S ribosomal RNA". It matches the Rfam family "Archaeal small subunit ribosomal RNA", at positions 716 to 982 of the family's 1478-position model. The record is from RNAcentral.